Molecule: long non-coding RNA, 2908 nt
Filed under: Ovis aries (sheep)
Lineage: Eukaryota; Metazoa; Chordata; Mammalia; Artiodactyla; Bovidae
Description: lncRNA (ENSOARG00000026539.1)
Source: RNAcentral
AUGGACUAUAGCCCCCUAGGCUCCUCUCGCCAUGGGAUAUCCCAGGCAAGAAUACACAGCAGGUUGCCAUUUCCUUCUCCAGGGGAUCUUCCUGACCCAGGGAUAGAACUCGUGUCUCUUGUGUCUCCUCCAUUGGCAGGUGGAUUCUUUAUCACUGAGCCAUAUAACUUGCAUCUUCCGCUUGUAUCCAUACUAUACCCAAUCCAUUCCACUUAUCUUAGACUUCCCAAUUCUUCAAAGCCCAGUCCAGUCACAUCUUCUCAUACACAUCUGGAAAUACACUUCCAUGUGCCAUUUCCCCAUGGUUUUCCAGAUCAUAAAACUCUCAAGGAUUUAAAAUCAAAGCUUAACACAAAAAGAAAAGAUAUGAUAGUCUUCUCCUUAAUAUAUGUUUCUUCCAGGCUUGUUUGUAUCAACAGCCCAAGAGUAUUGAGUUAUUAACUACACAUUUCUUGUAGCUUUUAUUAAAGAGAAAAAUAAAAAGGAAAGAAGAAAAAAAGAAAAGCAAACUGUUUCUUUUGAUCAAAAGUCCCCCACAAAGAAUUUAAAGAAUUAAGCAAAUGAUAGCAAAAUAAAAGGAAGGUCGACUCUUGGGCUCUUGGCAAACUAGAUAGCUUCCAUAUGAACAACAUAUAAAGUUCAGUUUUUAAAGAACAUAUGUGUUUGCUCACUGGUUUAGAGGGAAAAAACUUGAAUCCUGUCUACUCCGUAUAUACAGAUCAAAAUCAGAUCGCUUAAGUGAACUAUAAAACGCAAGAGGACAUUGUUUAUCCAAUCGCAAACCCAAGAAUUGCUGGAGUUUAAAGUUUUCUGUUUCUACUUCAAUGGUAGGUCACUUUUUUUGUAAACUGCUUCUAACUUCAUAAACCCAAUGUCAAAUUCUGUUCUUUGCUAUCCAUGUCUAUUUAAUUUGCUCUCUCUGAAUUGAUUAUUCCUGAAUCUUUAAAGGUAUUUUUGGACAUCUUAAAUCCUUUUGAGAUUUAAAUGUCAUCACCUUCAAACAACUCCCAUCAAAUAAAUCUCUUAUUAAUUCACAUCAAAUUAAUCCAUAAUGAUCACUUCUAUUAACAUAUGCUUCAGAGCACAAAGCCCAUUAAUAGUCAUCUGGACACUAGAACUAACCAGAGCUUUAGUGAGAUAAAAUGCACACUAUUUAGAUAUCCGAUUUCAAAGAGUUCUGAUGCUGGCCCAAAUACAUUUUAUUAGGCUUUUAUUUCAUCAUGCUAUGUGCUCUAUAUUUUAAAUAUCUCAUAUCAAAUGUACUAGUCUAGGUAAAAGGAGAUAGUCGACUAAAUAAGUAAUAAUGUCAUAUUUGCCAAAAUGAGUAUCCAUGUAUAUAUAUACAUCUUAGAGAAAGAAUUUCAGUAAGUACUUACUCCUAUUAAACAAUUGCAAAAAAAAUGGGGGGGGUGGAGUUUGACUUUAAAGACUUUUAGACAUUUAAAAGUCUAAAUGAAACUGUAGGAGAAUCCUGAAAAAAAUGAAGCAUGCGCCUACUUCAUUAAUGGGAAAACUGAAACAGAGUAAGUGUACAUUAUGGAAAAUCAAAGAGAAAGGAUCAUUAUUUUCCCCUUCAUAACAGGUGAGAGGCAAAUGUAUUAAAAACUCUGAUUUGAAUAAGAUCACAAUUUCACUAAGCAAAUUAAGAAACAUUACUAUUCAUUGCCCAUACAUAUGUCAUUCUUCCUUUUGUUUUCCUCUGCAAGAAAAAAAAAAAAACAAUUUAAAAAAAUCUACAAUGACAACUGUUGAUUCAAACAGGCCAAUCUGACUUUGCAUGUUUGCCUGAGCCAGGCUCAACUUUAUCCUUUCUUCUUUGUUAAACUGAGACUGUUCCAACUGGUCCAAGGGCAAAGACCCAAACAUAGCACUUCAGUUCAAAAAGAACAGCUCAUGGAAAAGUAUGCAUGCAUCUCUUUAUCUAGAUGGUUAUGAGAGAAAUUGACAUUUCAUUUGUAUGUAAAUUGGAUUUCUACUGAUAACAAAAAUAAUUAGUGUUGUGCUCUGUAGGAAUGCCUUUGACUUUCUUCCUAGCAUUUGCCAAAAUACAUCUUUGUAUAUUAAAGGUAGUUUACUUUUAAUAUAUCAAUGUUGCUUUGUCUGUUUUCCAAUCUGUUGUUCAAUUGAAAAGAAAGUCUCAAUUACCUCAAUCCAGCUCUGUAACUGGUGAACAGCUGUCUCAGUCCUCCCAUAAGAAAUCUGUAUCAGUCACUGCAAAUCCAUUUGGUAAAUUAACAUGCAGGUACAAUAUGGUGACUUUAACGGAUGCAUGCCAUGACAAUUCAAUAAGAAUGCUCACCAUCGUCACAUAACUGCUUAACCAAGCGUAUUAGGCAAAGUUUUGGCUCAUGUUUUAAAAUUCAUUUGUUUUUGGCCGUGCUGGGUCUUCACUGCUAUGCACGGGUUCUCUUUUUAGUUGAGGAGAGCCAGGGCUACUCUUCAUUGUGAUUUUCUUCAUUUUUUUUAAGAGUACAAAACCAGAUACAAGAUUAAAACAAUUGCCAUGAAGGAUAUUGAGAGCUAAUACUGGUUUUAUAUAUAAGAAAGCGAAAGUUGCUCAGUCCUGUCUGACUCUUUGUGACCCCAAGGACUAUACAGUCCAUGGAAUUCUCCAGGCCAGAAUACGGAGUCAGACACAACUGAGCGACUUCACUUUCCCUUUUCACUUUCAUGCAUUGGAGAAGGAAAUGGCAACUCACUCCAGUAUUGUUGCCUGGAGAAUCCCAGGGACAGGGGAGCCUGGUGGGCUGCGGUCUAUGGGGUCGCCCUAGUGUUAACUGAUUCCUUAAAGUAAAUCUCUUUAUACAUAUAUACAUGUAUAUGUAUAUAUAUGUUUAUAUCUGUAUACAUGUAAAUCAUUUUAUAUUUGUGUACACACACGCGCACACACACACACACACAACCCCCU